CAUUAGCUUGUUGGCGGGGUAACGGCCCACCAAGGCGACGAUGUCUAGGGGUUCUGAGAGGAAGGUCCCCCACACUGGUACUGAGACACGGACCAGACUCCUACGGGAGGCAGCAGUGAGGAAUAUUGGUCAAUGGGCGAGAGCCUGAACCAGCCAAGUCGCGUGAAGGAUGACGGCCCUACGGGUUGUAAACUUCUUUUGUCAGGGAGCAAUUGGGUCCACGCGUGGGCUUAGCGAGAGUACCUGAAGAAAAAGCAUCGGCUAACUCCGUGCCAGCAGCCGCGGUAAUACGGAGGAUGCGAGCGUUAUCCGGAUUUAUUGGGUCUAAAGGGUGCGUAGGCGGAAUAUCAAGUCAGCGGUAAAAAUUCGGGGCUCAACCCCGUCGUGCCGUUGAAACUGAUGUUCUUGAGUGGGCGAGAAGUAUGCGGAAUGCGUGGUGUAGCGGUGAAAUGCAUAGAUAUCACGCGGAACUCCGAUUGCGAAGGCAGCAUACCGGCGCCCAACUGACGCUGAAGCACGAAAGCGUGGGUAUCGAACAGGAUUAGAUACCCUGGUAGUCCACGCAGUAAACGAU
RNAcentral lists this ribosomal RNA (574 nucleotides) under uncultured bacterium. RNAcentral describes it as "bacterial SSU rRNA". It matches the Rfam family "Bacterial small subunit ribosomal RNA", at positions 239 to 810 of the family's 1533-position model. The record is from RNAcentral.